Gallus gallus (chicken) is the source of this 517-nucleotide long non-coding RNA. NCBI's taxonomy places the organism in Eukaryota, Metazoa, Chordata, Aves, Galliformes, Phasianidae. The record is from Ensembl.
AGAGAUCCUGGAGACUUGGCUCCAAGGCAGGCAAGUUGUUUGCGAGACAGAAUUUCACCAGGAUAUCAACUAGCACUUUGUCAGAAGGGUUCUGAAACAGGUUCCCUGAGCUGGAGGACCAUGACUACAGUAACAACCAAUUCCCAGCCAACCACAAACUCGUGUGGGAUUUGCUGUUCCACCUAGAUGCAUAUUCAACAUGAAAAGAAGAGCUAUACUGUGUCAUACUGAUGUCCCAUAACUCUGGCAUCUAACUAGUCAUCUGGGAGUUCUCCAUUCCCCCUAACAGUGAGAGACUGACAUAAUACCUGGAAUGCAGCUCUGCCCUGUCUGUCCUUUCCUCUCCUCGUCCCUCCACAACCUCAGAAAAGGGAGACGAAAAACAAACAAAGUUGAGGAUGGGCAGAAAUAUGGAGUGGCUUCCAGACAAUGAGGGAUUCAACAAGUCAGAAUUCAUCUGAGGCAAGAUGACUGUGAGAAGGUGUGAUGGAAACCAAUAAACUAAUGAAUGCUGUGC